Molecule: transfer RNA, 77 nt
Filed under: Sphenostylis stenocarpa
Lineage: Eukaryota; Viridiplantae; Streptophyta; Magnoliopsida; Fabales; Fabaceae
Description: tRNA gene-AYBTSS11_LOCUS20816
Rfam family: tRNA
About the family: Transfer RNA (tRNA) molecules are approximately 80 nucleotides in length. Their secondary structure includes four short double-helical elements and three loops (D, anti-codon, and T loops).
Source: RNAcentral
GUUAAGGUAGCUCAGCUGGUUAGAGCAAAGGAUUGACAAUCCUUGUGUCAGUUGUUCGAAUCCACUUUUAAGUGGCU